AGAGUUUGAUUCUAGCUCAGGGUGAACGCUGGCGGCGUGCCUAAGGCAUGCAAGUCGAACGAUUAAGUUGAGUCCGCAAGGAUUUGACCUGAUAGUGGCAAACGGGUGCGUAACACAUUGGUAACCUGCCUUGAAGACGGGCAUAACCUUUCGAAAGAGAGGCUAAUUCCCGAUGGACACGAGGGGACGCAAGUCAUUCUCGUGUAAAAGUCCAAAAGACGCUUCAAGAGGGGCCUAUGGUCUAUCAGCUAGUUGGUGGGGUAACGGCUCACCAAGGCUAUGACGGAUAGCGGGUUUGAGAGAACGGCCCGCCUCAGUGGAACUGCGACACUGUCCACACUCCUACGGGAGGCUGCAGUCAGGAAUAUUGGGCAAUGGGCGAAAGCCUGACCCAGCGACGCCGCGUGUAGGAUGACGCCCUUCGGGGUGUAAACUACUUUUGCCGCCGAAUAAGCCGCAAGGCUGAAUGUAGGCGGAGAAUAAGAGGUUGCUAACUCUGUGCCAGCAGCAGCGGUAAUACAGAGACCUCAAGCGUUACCCGGAUUUACUGGGCUUAAAGCGUCCGCAGGUGGUUCGACACAUCUUCUGUUAAAUCCAUGCGCUUAACGUAUGGGCCGCAGAAGAGAUGGUCGAGCUCGAGCACGGGAGAGGCAAGUGGAACUACCGGUGUAGGGGUAAAAUCCGUUCAUAUCGGUAGGAACACCAAAGGCGAAGGCAGCUUGCUAGAACGUUGCUGACACUCAUGGACGAAAGCGUGGGGAGAAAAAAGGAUUAGAUACCCUUGUAUUCCACGCCCUAAACGAUGAGCACUAGCUAUUGGGAGUAUCGACCCUCUCAGUGGCGUCUCAAUAAGGGAAACCGUUAAGUGCUCCGCCUGGGAAGUACGAUCGCAAGAUUAAAACUCAAAGAAAUAGACGGGGACCCGCACAAGCGGUGGAUCAUGUGGUUCAAUUCGACACUGAGCGAGAAACCUCACCAAGGCUUGAAAUCCAAGUGAAAAUCCUAAGAAACUAGGAUCCUCGCAAGACACUUGGACAGGUGCU
This 1043-nucleotide ribosomal RNA is filed under the name groundwater metagenome. RNAcentral describes it as "bacterial SSU rRNA". It matches the Rfam family "Bacterial small subunit ribosomal RNA", at positions 8 to 1042 of the family's 1533-position model. The record is from RNAcentral.